UGGCAGCCCCCUGGCCACCAAAUAGAGUUUCUGCUCACAAGUGAGGCCAGUGGAAAAUUUUAGUCUGCUCUUAGGAACUGUGUGCCCAGCCUGGGAAACUGAAGAUGUUUCUUUAACAGAAAAAUCGUGCUUUUGAAACUCAAAUGACAGCGUGGCCCAUGAUCUGCUUUUCUCUCCCUCACACCAGUUUUCUUGGGAUGUUAUCGGGCCAGCAUCAGAACAAUGCCCACUUCUGUCUUGUGUUUAACCUGAAUGACAAAAGACCAGUCAGCCGAUGUAGGCCACGCAAGGAAGUCUCCCUUACCGGUUGGGCGCAUGCAGAAACGCAAUGGCUUUCUUUAUUGUUCUGUUUUUUCUUUUCUUUCUCUUUCUGUUUCUUUCUCUUGUCCCACCUAAAAGCUCUUCUUAUGGAUCAGGUCUGGAGAGCCCCUGAAGGCUGCCUGAGAACUCGACUGCUGUGCCUGAGUCCCUCUGACAUUCUCUGUUGCCAACUGCUCACUCAUUAUUCUAAAAAAACAGCAAACAAGCCCAAACUACUUCUCCAAGCAAUUCCGAGACAUACUUCACAAACAGAACAAAGCAAAGCCACCAGCAAAGCCCAGCUUUCCUGAGAUCCUUUGUGAGAACCAGGAUGUUUUUUUUAUUUUUUGGUUUUUAAUUCUUAUUUUAUGUGCAUUGGUGUUUUGCAUGCAUGUCUGGGUGAGGGUGUCAGCUCUGAGCUGCUACGUGAGUGCUGGGAAUUGGACCCAGGUCCUCUGGAAGAGCAGUCAGUGCUCUUAACUGCUGAGCCAGCCCUCCAGCCCCAAGAGAACCAGGAUGAUUUUUGAUCACUACUAAGUUCUAUUUAAAACAUUUUUAAAGGAUUUUUUCUUUUCAAUUUUUAAUUAGUUCUUUGUGUACAAUGUAUUUUGAUCAUAUUCACCCCAAUCUUUUCUCAGAUCCAACUCCUCUUUCUAUCAAGCCAACCUGUGUCCUCUUUUUUUUUUUUUUUUCCUUUUUUCUUUUAACCCAUCAAGUCCAUUUGUACCGCCCAUAUACUCUUCGAUGUGUGGCCAUCCUCUGGAGGUGUGUUAUCAGCUUGAAUACAUCUGGGAUUAACUAAAUACCCAAGCAACUAGGCACACCCAUGAAGAAUUUUCUUGGUUCGAUUAUUUGAGAGAGAAGACCCACUCUAAAUCCAGAUCUUUUGAAGUCAGAAGGCACACUCUAAAUCCAGGGCACAUCUUCUCACAGCAGCCUAUAUAAAGGACGUGGAAGAAGGAAGCCUUUGCUUUUUUGCCUGCUUGCCCUCACUCUCACUGGCAAGUUCUUCUAUCUGAUGCUGAGGCGUUCCUUCACUGGUGUUAGCGCCUACUUCUUCAGACUUCCAGCGUAUACUAAAGACCAGCAGAGACAUCCAGCGCUGUGGACUAAAUAGCUAUUGGAGUCUUCCUGUUGGGACACAGCUGUUGGUGACUUAGCUGGGCCUCAGUCAUAUACGUUCAUUCUAUCAGUUGUGUUCAUCGAGAGAACCCUGACUAAUACAAUAAGUAUCCAGGUGUUUAA
Long non-coding RNA from Peromyscus californicus insignis, 1545 nucleotides. RefSeq lists it as uncharacterized. The transcript has 2 exons. Lineage: Eukaryota; Metazoa; Chordata; Mammalia; Rodentia; Cricetidae. The record is from RefSeq and is a predicted model, not a curated record.